RNAcentral lists this unclassified non-coding RNA (398 nucleotides) under uncultured fungus. RNAcentral's name for it is "partial contains small subunit ribosomal RNA, internal transcribed spacer 1, and 5.8S ribosomal RNA". The stretch from base 1 to 73 matches the Rfam family "Eukaryotic small subunit ribosomal RNA", at positions 1759 to 1831 of the family's 1831-position model. Lineage: Eukaryota; Fungi. The record is from RNAcentral.
GCAAACUUGGUCAUUUAGAGGAAGUAAAAGUCGUAACAAGGUUUCCGUAGGUGAACCUGCGGAAGGAUCAUUAUCGAAUUAAAAUUGAGGAUCUGUUGCUGGUUUCUUUGAAACAUGUGCACGUCCUUUUUUUUUUUUUUUUCUUUCAAACACCUGUGCACCGCCGGUAGACCUUGUCUUCUUUCAAAGCAAAAUGGUCUUUCAAACUUGUUUCAAGUUUGGUUGAGAGAAACUCAGCGGUACUUGUUGCUGCUCUUCUUUUUUGACGCUUGCUUUUGAAAUGGCUGGGUUCUACUGUAUCUAUCACACACGCUAUUGAGAAUGAUGAUAAAACUUUAUAAAAUUGAACAACUUUCAACAACGGAUCUCUUGGCUCUCGCAUCGAUGAAGAACGCAGC